AAUCAUCUUCUACAAGAUUAUUGUGUACAGCCGCAAAGGGAUGCCGCCGAAAAGUAAACUACCUUAUUUGUGGUGUGUACGCGGGAGAUGCGUGCGGACGGGCUUCUCUUUGACCUUCCAAAAACUGCUCCCUAAU
Caenorhabditis elegans is the source of this 136-nucleotide non-coding RNA. NCBI's taxonomy places the organism in Eukaryota, Metazoa, Nematoda, Chromadorea, Rhabditida, Rhabditidae. The record is from Ensembl.